UACGUAGGGGGCGAGCGUUGUCCGGAGUUACUGGGCGUAAAGGGCAUGCAGGCGGUCGGACGCGUUUUGUGUGACAGCGGGUGGCUCAACUGCCCGAGCAUACGAAAGACGGUUUGACUUGAGGGCUCGAGAGGGACACGGAAUUCCGGGUGGAGUGGUGAAAUGCGUAGAGAUCCGGAGGAACACCGAAGGCGAAGGCAGUGUCCUGGCGAGUGACUGACGCUGAGGUGCGAAAGCCAGGGGAGCGAACGGG
This 253-nucleotide ribosomal RNA is filed under the name uncultured bacterium. Its description in RNAcentral is "partial 16S ribosomal RNA". It matches the Rfam family "Bacterial small subunit ribosomal RNA", at positions 524 to 776 of the family's 1533-position model. The record is from RNAcentral.